CUUCAUGAGACUGUUUCGAUUUUUCUCUGGAUAUUCCAACAAUUCUGCUCCUAUUUAUGACUUGCUUUUCUAAGAUUAAAAGGACUAUGGGAGAAGAGGUGAUGGAAUAUUUCAGCUGUUCACAUGGUCCCUCACACGACACAUGGGGAUUCUGGAAGCUACAAUUCAAGAUGAGACUUUGGUGGAGACACAGCCAACCCAUAUCAGAUGGUUUUGAAUGAUCAAGACAUGGACAGACAAAAUCAAAGAUGAAGGGAACAGAAAAAUCCUUGUGCCAUCAUGAUUCAAGCCUCAAUGUAAACAGUGAGUACAUAUGUAUAACACAACCUCAGUUUUGUUAUAACAAUUUUUGUAUUUGAUUUGGUAAUUAGGACAACUAAAUUUAAUGUAUUUUUUUCUUUUUUAAUAGUGUUUCCUCAUACUGUACCAGAUGUCUUAAUCUCAUCAUCUGGAAUAAAUAA
Molecule: non-coding RNA, 461 nt
Organism: Callithrix jacchus (white-tufted-ear marmoset)
Lineage: Eukaryota; Metazoa; Chordata; Mammalia; Primates; Cebidae
Source: RefSeq, a predicted model, not a curated record